GACGAACGCUGGCGGCGUGCUUAACACAUGCAAGUCGAGCGGAAAGGCCACUUCGGUGGUCCUCGAGCGGCGAACGGGGGAGUAACACGUGCGUAAUCUGCCCCUGGCUUUGGGAUAGCCACCGGAAACGGUGAUUAAUACCGGAUAUGGCACAUUCUCGCAUGAGCUUGGGUGGAAAGUUUUUCGGCCAGGGGUGUGCUCGAGGCCUAUCAGCUUGAUGGCGAGGGAAUGGCUCACCAGUGCCUGGAUGGGUAGCCGGCCUUGGAGGGUGACCAGUCACCAUGGGCCUGAGACACGCCGCAGACUCCUACGGGAGGCAGUGGUGGGGAAUAUUGGACAAUGGGGGGAAGCCUGUUCCAGCAACGCCGCGUGAGGGAUGACGGCCUUCGGGUUGUAAACCUCUUUCAGUACCGACGAAGCGCAAGUGACGGUAGGUACAGAAGAAGCACCGGCCAACUACGUG
This 463-nucleotide ribosomal RNA is filed under the name uncultured bacterium. RNAcentral's name for it is "partial 16S ribosomal RNA". It matches the Rfam family "Bacterial small subunit ribosomal RNA", at positions 28 to 507 of the family's 1533-position model. The record is from RNAcentral.